RNAcentral lists this ribosomal RNA (341 nucleotides) under uncultured bacterium. RNAcentral's name for it is "bacterial SSU rRNA". It matches the Rfam family "Bacterial small subunit ribosomal RNA", at positions 173 to 507 of the family's 1533-position model. The record is from RNAcentral.
CCUUUAGAAUGGCAUUCAUUCUUUGGUAAAGCUCAGGCGGUACAGGAUGGGCGUGCGUCUGAUUAGGUAGUUGGUAUGGGUAACGGCCUACCAAGCCUGCGAUCAGUAGACUGGCGUGAGAGCGCGACCAGCCCACACUGGAAACUGAGACACGGGUCCAGACUCCUACGGGAAGGCAGCAGUAGGGAAUAUUGGGGCAAAUGGGCGCCAAGCCUGACCCAGCCAUGCCGCGUGAAGGAUUAAGGCCCUCUGGGUUGUAAACUUCUUUUAUCAGGGAAGAAACCUCUCGAUUCAUCGAGUAGCUGACGGUACCUGAGGAAUAAGCACCGGCUAACUCCGUG